Molecule: long non-coding RNA, 535 nt
Organism: Mesocricetus auratus (golden hamster)
Lineage: Eukaryota; Metazoa; Chordata; Mammalia; Rodentia; Cricetidae
Exons: 3
Source: RefSeq, a predicted model, not a curated record
UCCCCGCUCCAGCCAACCACAGAAAAGUUAUGGCGCUGCUUCUGCUGGUGCCAACAAAAGUGGGUGGAGCCAAGACGUUUAUCUUUCAGAGCAUGUACCCAGGCACCCAGUAGGGAUCCAACUCAGUCCCACAUCCACUUCCAGAUAGGAAGACCGCCUGUUGGAUGAUGUAAGGUUGUCCUGGGAGACCUAGUGGGUGUUGAUGAUGACCACUAGCGACAGCAGUAACCAAGUGUUUCUAAUGUAGGAGGACUGUGUGAGCAUAAGAGAGACACAGAUGAGCUACUUGGUAAUGAGAAGAUGCUGUAGUUCUCUCCUGCCAAGGAGCCAGUGGAUUGGCCUUUGGUGCCAAGAACAAAGCGUGGGUCUCCACAUGGCCACCAUUCUGUGGAGACAGCACACUCAGAUUCCACAGGGUAGAAAUGUCUGCUCUCCAGCCCCAACCAGAUGACAGAUUCUAAUUUUCUUAACCUUGUGCUCAAAGGGCAAAUCAUCUCACACUUUGGGGUUGGAAUAAAUUAUCCUCAAGCCCAAA